UUAAUUUCAAAGUUCUGUUGGAUUCUACAUUUGCAGAAUGUGUUGCCAUGGGCUUUAGUUCAGACUCUUGUUCGGAGCAUUGCAAUUUUCAAGAGUAAUUUUUCUAUUUGCACUUGAGUCCCUGCCCUUACUUACGCCCCCCAACUUGCACCACCCCCAACCCGUCAACUGGCUCAUGAGUCCUGUUAGGAACCGACAAUAUGUAUGGUCCGAAGAUGUGAGGCAAUUUUGGUGAGCGUCUAGAAGCCAUCGGCGAGGCCAAUGAAUCAGUUUUACCGAUUUUCACUUUGGGUUCUGGCUUCUCCAAUUCAAAACAGGGCAACAGCAUUCCGGUACAUUGCCAGCUCACUUCUACGGCUUGGCCAUCUCAUUUAUCGUAUUGAAUAUUACUAUGCUAAUCCAUCCUUGUAAUUUCCAACCAAUGCUAUGU
RNAcentral lists this unclassified non-coding RNA (430 nucleotides) under Hevea brasiliensis (rubber tree). Lineage: Eukaryota; Viridiplantae; Streptophyta; Magnoliopsida; Malpighiales; Euphorbiaceae. The record is from RNAcentral.